GCGGCAUACAUUUUCAAUCGCAGACUGUGCAGGGAAAGGAGAUAUCGGGACCCACUCGACCCACUACAUGUCAGUGAUGAACACCUGUUGCAGGUGUAUAGAUUUCCCCGUCAGGAAAUCAUCAGGCUCUGUGAUGAGUUUCGCCCCCACCUGGAAAGGAGAACCAGGAGGGCACAUGCACUCCCAACACACACCCAGGAGACACUGCGUAUCCUCUGGAGCCAUUCCUGAUGACCCCAGUUGCACGGCCAACAACACCUGGGGAGGAGCGCUACAACAAGUCAUCACAGGACAAGAUGCGUUGUCGAACGGACCUUUGGGAUCCUCAAGUCAAGGUGCAGGUGCCUACAUAAGUCAGGAGGAAGUUUGCAGUAUGACCCCAAGAAGACUAUGAAGAUUGCGACUUCUUGUAUGCUCCUGCACAACUACUGAGUGGAUCGCUGCAGAAGAAGUACCAGUUCAGCCUGUGAGAAACAACAGACUGAUUCCUGGUCAAGUUGUCAGGCAGGAAAUUAUUAUAAACUUCUUUUCCUGAGUAUAAGUAGGCAUAUAUGUAGACCUUGCAGUUAGUAAUAGAUUACUUUCAAAUGUGAACGUGCAGAACUCACAGUCGGAGGCAUAAGAACAAAACAAGAAAUCAUAAUGGCCACAUGUUCGGCAUUCUUGAUCAUAAUUUAUAUGGCGAAUAUUAUUAAUAUGUAAUUAAUAUCAGCUUACACCUGCAGAUUGCAUAUGGUGCACCGGUGGCCGAGUGGUCAGCGUGUGUACGUGGUGAUCCAGAGGACUCGAUUCCCACCGCAAGACGCUGAGAGUUUUCAACCAUUGACAAGUGGCGGAGGGUUACCAACAUGCUGCCCAGCAGAUCUUCAGUCAACCCUAACUUCAGCGUCUUUGAUCAAGAGGGGCACCACCUCCACACCACUCAUUCUUAUCACCUAGUUUGAUACCCUACUUGUCCAUCUCACAUUCCCCAUGUAUCUCAGCAUUCUGCACUCUUGGCUCCAUGUCAUCCUCUCCAACUUGUUGGUUCGUAUAGCAUAACCGGCCUUACAUACAUAGAAGUGUUCAAUAUACCUAGGCUAUAAUAUUAUAUUUAAGGACUCUUAUACAAGGUAUCGCCCCAUACAGAGGUGUCGAAGUAAGUCUGUCUGAUGGUAGGCUGGCUGACUGCUGUCGGGACCCAAGCCAGCAUGCCCUGGGGGUUGUGUGCGGGAGGAGGAAAGAGGGAAAAGGACAAAUGGUGUGUGUGUCAUUAUCAGGGGUAACCACGGUGGAGUGCAAACACUCAGUAGUUGUAGUCAAGGCUUAAUUAAGUUGAUGAGUGGUGUUAGACUGAAUGAGCAGGUUUUUUACCACAUGUUAGUGGGAACACUUGAUAGGUUUUGUUUGUGUGUUGGUGCUACUUGUUUCUUGUGUUUACAUGUUAGUUUAUAAUUAGACUGAGUUCUAAGUGUUAUGAGCGACAAUUUAGUCUUGUGUGGCUGAAUCCUGUCCCUUGACCCUUAAUUCAUCAUCAGAAUCUUUAAACAAAUAUAUUUACCUUAAGUAAUAUUCUUAAAGUCACGCUGCCCAUAUUAUUUGGCAGAUGAUAACCCUGUGUGCGAUAACGGUGCCUUAUAAGACUUGGUAAAUAAACUACUAAUUUUA
Molecule: long non-coding RNA, 1647 nt
Organism: Eriocheir sinensis (Chinese mitten crab)
Lineage: Eukaryota; Metazoa; Arthropoda; Malacostraca; Decapoda; Varunidae
Exons: 2
Source: RefSeq, a predicted model, not a curated record